UGGGGAAUAUUGCACAAUGGAGGGAACUCUGAUGCAGCGACGCCGCGUGAGUGAUGAAGGAAUUCGUUUCGUAAAACUCUGUUCUAUGGGAAGAAAAGGACUGUACCAUAGGAGAAAGCUCCGGCUAAAUAUGUGCCAGCAGCCGCGGUAAUACGUAUGGAGCGAGCGUUGUCCGGAAUUAUUGGGCGUAAAGGGUGCGCAGGCGGCUUUACAAGUUGGAUGUGAAAUAUUGUGGCUCAACCACAAACGUGCAUCCAAAACUGCAAAGCUUGAGUUAAGGAGAGGUAAGUGGAAUUCCUGGUGUAGCGGUGGAAUGCGUAGAUAUCAGGAGGAAUACCGGUGGCGAAGGCGACUUACUGGACUUAAACUGACGCUCAGGCACGAAAGCGUGGGGAGCAAACAGG
Molecule: ribosomal RNA, 404 nt
Filed under: Fusobacteriota bacterium
Lineage: Bacteria; Fusobacteriati; Fusobacteriota
Description: Fusobacteria bacterium partial 16S ribosomal RNA
Rfam family: Bacterial small subunit ribosomal RNA
Source: RNAcentral